Molecule: ribosomal RNA, 254 nt
Filed under: uncultured bacterium
Lineage: Bacteria
Description: partial 16S ribosomal RNA
Rfam family: Bacterial small subunit ribosomal RNA
Source: RNAcentral
UACGGGGGGAGCAAGCGUUGUUCGGAUUUACUGGGCGUAAAGGGCGCGUAGGCGGCCAGCACAAGUCAGUUGUGAAAUCUCCGGGCUUAACUCGGAAAGGUCAACUGAUACUGUGCGGCUAGAGUGCAGAAGGGGCAACUGGAAUUCUUGGUGUAGCGGUGAAAUGCGUAGAUAUCAAGAGGAACACCUGCGGCGAAGGCGGGUUGCUGGGCCGACACUGACGCUGAGGCGCGAAAGCCAGGGGAGCGAACGGG